AGAUGCCCAGCCCCGGGGUGUCUGGAGCACGGUGUGCCCCGCACGGCAGCCCCGCGCUUCGCUGUAUUCCCAGCCGCAGCGGCCGCGUCUCGGGCUCCCAUCGAGCCCGCAUGAGCGAUCCGUUUUACCGAUGAAGAAGGGCGACCAUUGAUUUUUCCAGGGAAAUCUAGUAUCUGUUCUUUUAAUAUGUGUCCGUAAGCGACACCAGAUGUUUCCAUUCCGCGUUCUGCUAUCCACUGCUAAAAAAGUUGGCGGUUUUAUUGUGGCAGAAGCGUUGCUUUAAAGAGAAAUAUUUGCCUUAACAACUGCAGCGUGGUAUUAAGGCGUUUUGAAAAGCCCUUAAAUCAAAAGUCGGCAAAACAGGGGAGUUGCUAUCAGAUUGCAGUGUCUUUUGUUUUUUUCACAACGAUCUGCAUGAACUGGAACAGAAUAUGUAGGUGAAGUCUUCACUGUCAUACAGAAAUAAGUUUUGUUUAUUUCAGAAUUCAGGCUUCUACUGAUGAAUGUAUCGCCAGAUAUGAGUUGGGCAUGAUGGCUUCUCUACAGAGAGGGCGAUGGAUAUGUGAUUAGAAGUAAAUCAUUGCUCUCCAACUAUAGACCAAAAAAUGUAAUUUGCUGUUCAAAAUAUUACAUGAGGGACAACUCGAAAACAGAUUUUUUUUUAUGUUCAAUAUUUGCCUUGUGUAGAGUUUAGCACAAUUUAAAUGCCUCAACUGGCAGUGAAAUACUCAGAUGCCUACUAGUGGUGAGCAAUUUUUUAAGUCAGUGAAACUCUUCACUGUAUUUGUCAUUAAUGUACAUGCAUAACAGAAUUGAGGGUCACAUCAUGAACACCUUGGACUCUAUAUGCCCAUGCUAAUUCAAAAGGUGUUUCUGGUGUGGAGAAACUUGUUUUCAAUAGUCAGUGUUUUGGAAAGCAUAAUAUUUUCAGUGGUGGAUUGGAAGUGCUAGGUUGGACUCAAUGACUUUAGAGGUCUUUACAACCUAAAUGUUUCUAUGAUUCUGUAAUUCUCUAUUUAAAAAUCUGAAUUAUAAGAAGUAUUUUUGCAAUAGUUAGUAUCAGAGCAACUUCUUAGGCUUCCUUUUCUUUAGGUCAUGAAGUGUUUUCAGUUACCAGAGGUGUUCCUGGGAAUAGUCAGGAACAUUCUUAUUUAUCUUGGUCUUCACUACAGUGGAUUAGAUGACUGUUCUUACUUUUUUAACUCAUUUAAUGAAAAAUAGUGUAUUGAACACAAUGUGCAAGUUUUCUUAGAUGAGAAACACAAUAUCCAUGUUUGAGUCUAGCUCUGCCAGAUUUUGCAAUUCAGGCUCAGUGGAAUGAUCUAUUUGAUUAUUGUUUAAUGAACAAUGCAGAGCAUUAAACAAACAUCAUAGGAUUGUAAGAAUGCUGGAGUCUUUUUCCCAUGCUUUUUAAUCCCUCUACUUUACCUGCUUGAGUUUGCAUGUUCCAAAAAAAUAAAAUCUUUUGAAGCUUUCUAGAAAAACGGUAUUUUUAUGAUCUCGUCCAAAUGGCUGCUUUUCAUCCUGAUUUUUUUCCUUCUGUGUUGACAAGCCUUUCAUCUUGAUCACUGACAUUUUUUCAUCUUUUGUAUUUGUACCCUGAUCUUCAGAUCUACUCAACAAGUAGCUGCCACUGUCAUAUGCCCUUGUUGUCCCACUGCACUGCAAAGGCUGCCUUGAGUCCCAGCAGCACGUUGUUUUUAUUCUGGGUGUGUCUGAUCUCAUGGCUUGACAGUUUUAAGGCACCUUUCACAGAGGUAUUGCAGCGUGCACUGCUAGUCUCUUAACCUGCAUCUUAAGCACAACUGCUCAACUCUUUUAUUUAUUUUAUUAAUCUUAUAAUAUUUCAUGCAUGCUGCAAUUAUGUAAUCUGAUUUUUUUUUCUCCAUGUGAGAGCUUUGUGUUUCUAAAGCUACCUGCAGCACCCAUACAGGUACAUACUACGUGGUUUGCUGCUCUGAGUCUACAGACUUUCCACAGCCAUGGAUCAGCCAAGGCACUGUCCUCCAUCCUAGACCCUGGUUCAGUUGUUGCUAGGUUUGAUGGAUUUUUCACUGGGAUGCAGAGCUUCUGAUGUUGUCCAUUUUCCUUGUGUGCUUAUGCUGAUCUCAAUGCCUAAGUGAAGGCUUGGAGUUCCUUCUUUCUAAAUGAGGGUAAAUCUUGUAGGUAUUAAUAAUGUUGGUUUUGGGAACCAUGGCAGUGCUGCAAGCAUGGUGGUAACAGCAAAAAAUAUCUCUUGGCAACAGAAAAGAGACGGCCUUUGUAAUGCUUAGUUUCUUUUGAAGAAGUUGUUAGUUCUGGCUGUGAUAGGUUUAAAUUUGCAUGAUCAGCUCCCUCUUUGUCUUGUUUGAGUGAAUCAGAGCCUCACUUGAUCAUGUUGGUCAAUUAUUUGCAGUUGACUUUAUGUCAGUUUUGCUUUGUAAGUCCAUAUGAAACAGUGAAAGUGUUAGUAAUAUCUGUGUUACUCCUGACAAAAUUUUAAUAUGCUUUUAUAUGUGUUUUAAUAGUCUUUGUUUCUGCCAAGUGAAUGUGCAUGCUGUCCAGAUGCUAUGUAGGCAAGCUGAGCUUUUGUGUUUGCAUUCACCAUGCACAACCCUUUCUUAAGACCUUAGAGCAUCUGGGGUCUUGGUUGUCAUUUAGUAUGGGAGCACUUCUUCUGCUUGGAUGUUAGCCACAUAACUCAUAUGAUGUCAAAUAAUAGAAAAACACUCUCCCAGCAGCUUUGUGUGGCUCACCUGCUACAGAGCAUUUGCUUGUGUUUCUCUCCUAAGUUGCUCUUGGCUUCCAAGUGGCUGUGUGCACUUACCUUGUCAGUUGUGCAGAGAAUGUGAUCCAGAGCAUCUCAAACAGGCCUCCUGCUGAGGGAUCCAUGGAGGAGCAGCUGCUGGGCCUUUGGUCAUUCCACUUAGUGUUUUCUUUGUAAGAAAUAUGAUACUUUGGGCAAAGCACUAUCCUUGGUUUUGGUGUACAUCUCCUUGGUUUGAAGUCAGCCUGUGCUAAGCUCAGCAAGUGUAUACAGCUUCUCCUUUAAAAAGGAAUUUAGUCUGGGAUAUAUAUUCUUUUCUACUUUUGAUUUUUUAAUAGCUCAGCUUUUAAAUUUCUCUGUAUGAAGAUGACUUUACAACAAUGCCCAAUUCUCUUUCAGCCUUUUCUAGGAUGCCAGCUGCCAGAAUUUUUGGUAGGGAAUGCAGUGAAGCUUUGGUAAUCAAGAUGCAGCUUUGCAGGAAGCACUUGUACAUUUAAUAAUUAGUUCAGCAAAGGAAUUUUUGAGCCAGAGGACUUGGUUUAUACCUGUAGCAAACAGUUCCUCUUUUCUUGGGCUUACCUGUAAAUCACCUUUUUUGAUUAGACUGAAUAGUCCUACGAGCUAUUGAAAACCAACAUCUCUGCACAUCAAUAACUGUGACUCACUCCAACGCAGUCUUCAAAAAUAGGAGUUGAAGCUUUGUUUUUGCUUUUUCUUUAAAACUUCAAGAUCUGGUUCAACACUUACUCAAUCCUUGUUUCAUAACUUGUUCUUUUCUGUGGCAGCGAUUUUAUUUAAAUCUUGUCCUUUGCAUGUGUGGCACAAUAAAUGUCACGUGUACAGGGGCUGCACUGUGAGCCUGGGGUGUGGGUGCUGCAGCAGGAAUCUCUCUGUUGCCGUUCCUUGCUCACCUGCUCCUGUGCCCUUGAUCUCAGAAAUUACUUGCCUGUUGGCCCAGCUAUUGGUGGAUGCCAGGGCUGAGUUCACUGUGUGUCCAAAAAAGCAUGUAGGCUUGAGGCAGGCUUAUUAAGUCCAUGUGAAUGCACAACCCAUCUUGCUUGCCAUAGACAAGAAGAAGAGGUUGUACAACCAUUCCUGAAGAAAAAAAGCUGUGCCUUCUCCAGUAAAUAAUUUCUCUGUGAGAGCAGGUUGCAUUAUAAAGCAGCUUGCCUUGGAGACUGCUCUAAAUAAGUAUGUAUACUAAAAUAUAUAUUCCUAAACAGAAAUAGAUACAGAAAACUAAAUUUUUAGUAUUUUAACAAGUCAACAGACUGAGGCCAGACAGUUAGUUUAAAUUACUGAAAGUAGUUGCUCCUAUUGUUUAUAUAUAUGUAUCUACUACUAUGGAAACAGUGAGGUCUCUCAUUCUUCUUGUUUCUGGUUAUACGAAAAAAUAUUUUGUUUAAAUAGUUCCUUACUGGUUUAUGUGUUUGAUUUUUUUCUCUGCUUAAAAGUUCUCAAGUAUGUGAUGCUGAAAGUUAGAUUGUCUUUCCUACAGUCCUUUAUUAUAAGCAUUCCCACAGUCAUUUUGCCUUUUUUUUUUUUUUUGGUCUUCUGAAGGUCUCUUCUAGCACUUUUGUUCACAGCAUUUUGUAAGGCAACUCAGUGACAUUAAUUUGCAAAAACAUUGACACAAAAUCUGCUUUCAAAAAUACACAUAUGACCUUUUUUCAUGAGCAUGGCACUGGUGACAUGCUUCCUUUUCUCACUGCUGCUUCCCUAGAGAAUUUCCUGCUGGACCAGCUUACAUGCAAUAAUUUAUUAUUGCUUCAUAUUAUGAGCCACCAGUUUUGUUACUGUGGCACAGAGAUCUGUUCCAAACCUGGAAAUAAGAACAGUACCUAGGUACUAAAGAGCAAAGUCUGCUUGUUCGCCAGUUUUUGGCCUUUCCCUGCUUCCCUUUCAACUUCAGUAUUUAAUCCCCCUGACUAAGUAACAAUCCUUUUGUUCCUUUUGCCACACAACAACAUCUGGAAGCCAAAAUAUUUGACCUUUUGGAUGUUUUUUAUCACCUUUUUAUGUGUCUGUCAGUACUGUGAACCUUUAAAACCCAAUCCAGAGCCUCCUGGGGUCAGCAGGACAGUUCCCAUUCUCCCUGGAACAUUUUGCAUGGCGUCCUGAGAACAGUCACCCUUUCUACUACACCUCAGACUUUCUACUGCCCUUUUUUGUUAUAGCUUGCUCUCUACUAUGGGCUGAAUUCUAAACACUAUCUAGUAUUUUCUUCACCACAAAUGCAUAAUCCAAUACUUUUUUUUACAGUGCUUUUCAUGCAACUUUCUAUUGAGUUGAAUGUUGUCAUGCACUCUGAAGAAAAUCAUAAUAGGAAUGAAACUUUAAUCAGAAGUCUUGGAUUUACUUUGUGUUAAAAGAGAAUCGUGAUGUUUUAAGAGAAAUUCAGCAUUAUAUAUUUUAGCCCUACAUUUAUAGGAUUAGUAUAUAUCCAUGAAAUUUUCAAACAGUGGUUUGAAGUGUAUGUGACUAGAUUCUGUGGUGCUGCUAAGUGCCACUCUAGCCUUGAGGAUAGUUAAAAGAAAAGAGAAAAGAAAAAUAUGCAUAAAAUAACAAUGGACAGAAUAUAUAUUAUUUCCUUCCAUGAGAAGGUAACCAGAGCAACAUUAUGAGGUGAUGAUGAAGCUGUGAGGGUCACAGUUAAAUGCUGUCAGCCAUGGAGGCAGAGCUAUAUGAGACCAAAUAAGUAUAACAUGUUGCACCAUUUGAGGAAUAGGUACAAAAUUCUUUGUGGUCUACUGAAGAUUUUUAUUUCCCAAAAUGGUGCCUUCAAAACUGGAAAGAAUAUUUCUAAUUUCUUUCUUUACAUAAUGGAAUAAACCAUACAAAACCCCACAGAAAUCCAUCUGUAUAUACACAUACAUUUCUCUUAAUGUUAAUAUUAAAUGCAUAGUAUUUCUUACACUGAAUGUAGUCAAUGCUUUCCCACCGGAGGUAGCAGCAGUGGCUCCACUUCCAGCUGUUAUCCUCGCAAGAUUAAUGAGGUCUACUAAAUUGCUUAAACCCAUACCAAACAGAAAAGUCUCUUGUCUUUUUUUUUUUUUUUAGAUUCUUUCCUGUCCUUACAUUUAGUUUAAAAUUUCUAUAAAAUUUUCAAAUAUGUUGUUCAGUCCUUUAUCACCUUAAACUCCUUAUCCAGAUGUUUUCUGUGAUGUGAUAAUGAAACUCGGGGAGCUGUGCUAUUCCUGACUACAGUUCUCCUAGUAACAGUACUAUUUUUAUUGAUAUUUUUACUAGUAAGCCCUUAUGCUUCUCAUCUGUAAUACACCAUUAGUAGGGCUAUAAAUGUAAUGACAAAGCCAGUAAACCACAAUUACAUAGCCCUCUUUCUUUUCAUAUAUUUUGACAGAGCUUGCUUCAGUCCUGUUUGUUAGUGAAAUGUUCAACUAGAAGGAACAUUAGUAGAUUUGCUGUCAAAAUCAAUUAAAAUUAGCUACUUCAGUAUGACUUAGCAGUUGCAUAGUCAAACAUCAAGAGCAGAUUGCUUUAAAGACAUAUUUAUAUGAAAUCCUGCAUUGCAAAAGAUGCCCAAGCUUAGGAGCAGGUCAGUCCAUCUUUUUUCACCUUCCUCUCUCCUAUUCUGUAUUAUCUCAGCCUGUCAGCACUCCUGCCAUGCUGUGACUGAGUAGGGAGGGCCUCUUACCAAAGUCAGUGAGCAGCUCUCAUACUAAGUUUUCAGCACUUAGUGGGCAGCCAGUGGGUGUGACAGAAGCCAGCUCAAAGGGGCUGGUGCGCAACAGGUAUAAAAGUUGGCUGUACAUUGAUGAUCCUCAGCAACCAGUUGAAGAUGUUUAGUUGUGAUUUUACUGGGUUACAUGGUAGAUUCCAUGACUAGAACAUUACAGUCAAAAGUUCUAGCUUGAAAGAUGUACCGUGAAUAGCAGGUUGUUUUCCAGAACUGGAAUAUCUGAUAAAAAGAAGAUCAUAUAGGUUGGAGGGACCUGUAGAGAUCAUUUCAUCCAGCCUCUUAUUUAAAGCUGGACUGUUCCCAGCACAUCCCAGCAGCCAUGUAUUUGUCUGUCAAGAGUCUAGAAACCCUUCAAGGACAAGACUUUGCACAGCCUCUGUAGGUGACCUCAGGGAGUGGUGGAGCUGCUAGCCAGCUUUUGUUCACAAGCAAAAUGGAGCAUAGUUAAUUCUGGUUUUGCCUGCAGAGACACCGAGAUUAAAUGUGGAAUUACUUGCAUGGCAGGAUUGUGCAUAAGUAGGCCUCCUCUCUUUUCCUGACACUGCUGUAGUUGUCCUUGUGCUUCAGCUCUGCUUUACUGUGUUUGACUUUUGGUAAGAGACUUGCCUCACAAGUACGUCAUAUUCUGAGAAAUCUUCUUAAAUACCAAGCCAAACAGGUCUUCAGAAUAGCUAAGAAAUUACUUUUAAAUUGAUCAGAACCAAAACCAGUAGCAUUUUUAGGACUCUACCUUUAGUGAAGUUAAUAAAUAUAUUUUUCUGAAGUCUGUGUGAUUAUGUAAGUGACAAAUUGUUAGUAGCAAAUUAUUAAACUUACAGAGUACAUACAAUCACAUACUGGAAUGGCCACUACACCUCAGUACAAAUGAAAGGUUUUAGUACAAUCAGGAGCUGAGGAGAAUAUUCCCACUAUUUACCCUAGGCUGUGCACCCUCAGUGGUUGCUGGAAAGGGGAGGGUGCCUCCAGAGGUGUGAGGUAGGUGUGAGGUGUUGAGAUCCUCCUGGUGUGAAGCUGAAUAUGCUCCUACCUCUGCUUUUCGAUGUGUACUACUAAUUUUAUACUCUGAUGCUUCAUCUGCUGCUUUUACUGUGUUUCCCAGUUGUUCCAGAAUGACAUUGUGACUCUGCCAUCAGCUGUUUUCUCUGCUGGGCACUGAGCCCUCACAUCCCUGGUUCAGCUGCCCAGGUCAGAGCAGUGGCUGUGUUAGUUGGAGAGAGCUGCAGCCCUGCAGGCAGUGAGUCAGAGUACUGGGAUGUCUUAGCCUGAAUGGGGACUCGCCCUCCAGAGAAGCCUCUUUCUCUCUGUUUAAUACAGAAAGAGACUUGCAGGUGGAAGAUAGGUGCUGUAUUUCCUUUGGUGUCUGUCAGCAACUUUCAUAAUUGAAUAAACACCCCUGUGCUAUAAGGCUGGCCAUGAAGAGAAGACCAAAACAGUUUCAAAAACUGAUGGUCAAAAAAGGUGAGGCAAACAAGCAAACCCUGAAAAAUUACCCUUUGUGAUACCCUCACUGCCAAUAGCCAUCUUGCAGUGCACCUUCCUGGCAGAACUGUGGCUACCCAGACUAACAGAUCCUGGGAUGAAUACAAACAUAACCAUCAGGUAAAAGCCACGAAAUUGUUUUUGUCUUGGUACACUGAACAUUCAAAAUUCUGUUAACAGACGUGUUUAAUUCCAGAAUGCACAUUUCUUGAUGGAAAUUCAGACUAUGUACAGCCUGAGUCUGGGGACUCUUACGAGGACACAAAUUUUGGACAGUGAAAUAGGAAUCAGGCAGGAACUGGACCAUUCAGUGUCACAGGAGUGCCUAACUCAAUCUGGCAGCUAGGAAUAAAAGUAAAAAGAAGUCAGUGCUUCCUCAGUGAGAACAUCAUUAAUUAUUUACAUGUGUUCUAUAAGGAGGUUGUAUAUUCAAAGCUUCUUGAAGCCUUUUGGGAAAGGCAGUAUUUUUUUAAAGAAGGUUCUAAGGCAUAUUCUAGUGAACCUUCUAAGAUAUCUGCACUGAAAAAAUCAUCACAUCCUAACAUAUAGCCUAAAAGUCUACAAGAACAAUAUUUUUGUCAAUUGUUCAGAGUAUUAUUAUCUUUAAUAUUGCUGUUUAUAGUUUGACUUUAUUGUUUAAAGGUUACUCAGGGCAUGCAAAUGUCAGAGUGCUCUGAGCAACUUUCCUGAUGGUUUGUUUGAGGAGACACUAUCCCGUGCUUGGCUUUGAAAUUUGGCAGGCAUGUCUGAUCUGGGAGAGGGCUUGGACGUACAAUUUCAAGUGAUGAAAUCCAGCUGAUGUUCAAAGGAAAAGUCUACUCCCAGAAUGCUCCUAGGAGGCCUCUGUGGAAAAAAAAAAAGACACUGUGAAAGAAAGCAAUGGAAGUCGUGUGUUAUGAAUUCGUGUGGUUUUACCUCUUGUGCAAGUAAAUUCAGGCAAGAGCAGAAAUGCAGGCUUUCAUAGCAGUAUUUACCAGUUUUCUCUUUUUUGUCUUCCUGAUGCUGAUGUGCCUGAGAAGGUAAAUCAGGUCUGCCUCUGAUCCUGAGGAGUCUAAGGUCUGAAGUCCUUACUGGGGCAAAAUUCCAGUUGAGUUACAGGGGUGAAUCCUUAACUGACCUUGCUGGACACUAUAUGCACAUCAUAUCAUAGAGUGAAUCCCAUUGUGGGCUCAUCUUCUCCUUACCCACUUUUUUAAGAGAGAUUCUUUAUCCUACCAUUUCUGGGCAGGUGGAGGUCUUCACUUUCUUCCAGCAGAGCUUCCAGCAGGGUUUAGGAGGAGCCCGCAGGUCUGGGGGAAAUCCUGGACGCACCGUGCUGCAGUCACGUUGUGGGUGAGGAGCAGUCACUGCUGCAGUGAGCAGGGAGGGUGGCCAGGCUGUCUGGAGAUGGAGGGGGAAUCAGCUCCACAUCAGGCUCCACAGGGAGGGCUGCUGCUCUCCUGUGGGGGUUCACCUGCAGUAUUAAAUACAAAUACAGUGCCUGUUAACGUUUCAAUUGCAGGAAAGAUGAAGGUAGGCAGGCAACUGGCUGGCACUAAGCAGCUAGAGAGCAUCUCACUCCUCACCAGGAUUUUUCCUUGUGCCAGGAGGGUGAGCUGUGCAUUGGGUGGAUCCCCCCAAUGUACAGCAGAGCUUUGACAGUGAGCAUCAGGGUUUCAUAGGCAGCUCUUCCAUUCUGUAGUAGCAAACAUCUUGAUUACUCAAAAGGCUGGCACAGAAAAAUCUUUCUGUACAGCUUGCCCUAGUUCUGGAAAAUUUAUAAUUUUGUUCAUGUUUCUGGUAAUAGUAGUAGAAAGAUGAUAAGUUUUACAUUGCAUAAAAAAUAAACUAUCAGAGGAGAGGGAAUACAAUAAAAUCAUUUAUUUUCUGUAGCUGGAGUGGAAGUGCUCACUUGGUUAUUGGUGUAUCUAAAGGUUACAAGGUGUAUGAGUAGAGUUAUUCUUCUUUGUGCCAGGCUAAUUUGUUCUUUUAAAAAAUGCCCUGUUGCACUGAAAGCUGAAGUUCUUAACAGUAAAACAAGGAUAUGUAGAUAUGACAUAAUCUGAUGGUACAGUGUCACCAGUGUGAUAUCACAGGCAGUGUUGGAGGUGGUAAGUAAAACAUUUUGGUGCUAUUUUAGUAUGUAUUCUUCAGCUACCUUUUUCCCCAUUGUAUUUAGUUUUGUACAUUUGGGGGCUUUAGUGCCCCAAUUUUUAGCACUGUAGUUGAUUUCUUUCAUUGUGCAAAGUUUUACCAACUCCUGUAGUUCUUCCACGCUGCUUCUCUAUAGCUUUUGGAGUUAUUUAUACAUAAAUUCUCCCAUAUAAAACAGGUCUGUCAGGUCUGCAGAACCUCCUGUGCAGGUAUUGCAGUAACUGUAUUGGUGAAAAAUGAGAUAAAUAGUUUCUUGUGAGUUUGGGUGGAAGGCUUUGAGAGGGGACUUAACUUUGGGUUUUGGUUUUUAUGUUUUGAGGGGGUUUUUGUUUGUGUGGGGAUUCUUUGUUGUUUUUGUUCUAACAGAAAGUUUGGAAACUAAUACCACAUACAGAAACAUCUAAGUGGAAAAGUCAUAAUUAAAAACAAACUGCACAAGCUGUCACUUAUUUCUGAAUAUAUUUGAUUAUAAAUGUUUGUGUGCUUCCAAAGAGAGGAUGCUUCGGACACAGCUGAAGCAGCUACUUAAAUGCAAUUCAGGAGCUCACUCAGUGGUGCUGAUCCACUGUACUGCAGGUAAUAUUCACUCAGCCUGCAGAUGAAACUCCAAAUGUUGGAGAAAGAAAAACAGAUGCUGAUCUGGGAGGAAAUUGCCACCUUCUCUCUUCUUUGUGUUGAGUUAUAUUGUGAUGUUGGUGGGAAGGGAAAGGAUAAAAAAGUAAACUACAGUCAUGUGGGAAACAAUCUGUCAUUAGUCAGGAUGUAUGCAGGGGCAGGCUGAAAAGCUUACUAGCAGUUUUCUCUUUUGUUAUUUUGCUAGGAACUAAUUCUAAGUUACAGAAGGCAGCAGCAAGACGGCAAAUAGAGAUGCUUUUUGGCUUAAUUGGGAUUAUUUGAAAGAAUUAAAUAUGAUUAAGAUGGAUUAGGUGCUUUGCACUGUUACUGCCGUUCGUGCCCUGGGGGGUGUUUCUGGCAGUAGGCUGGGCUGCCCCUUGGCUUGGCUCAUUCCUGGCACUUGGCAGAGGCCUGGGAUGCAGCACUUCAGGCUGCUGGCUGCUCCUGCAGCCUAAUGCAUGCAGCUUGCUCUGCACAGUCAGCAGCUGGGGGUA
Non-coding RNA from Lonchura striata (white-rumped munia), 11167 nucleotides. Lineage: Eukaryota; Metazoa; Chordata; Aves; Passeriformes; Estrildidae. The record is from RefSeq and is a predicted model, not a curated record.